Molecule: ribosomal RNA, 906 nt
Filed under: uncultured Oxalobacteraceae bacterium
Lineage: Bacteria; Pseudomonadati; Pseudomonadota; Betaproteobacteria; Burkholderiales; Oxalobacteraceae
Description: bacterial SSU rRNA
Rfam family: Bacterial small subunit ribosomal RNA
Source: RNAcentral
AUGCAAGUCGAACGGCAGCACGGGCUUCGGUCUGGUGGCGAGUGGCGAACGGGUGAGUAAUAUAUCGGAACAUACCCUAGAGUGGGGGAUAACGUAGCGAAAGUUACGCUAAUACCGCAUACGAACUAAGGUUGAAAGUGGGGGAUCGCAAGACCUCAUGCUCAUGGAGUGGCCGAUAUCUGAUUAGCUAGUUGGUGAGGUAAUGGCUCACCAAGGCGACGAUCAGUAGCUGGUCUGAGAGGACGACCAGCCACACUGGAACUGAGACACGGUCCAGACUCCUACGGGAGGCAGCAGUGGGGAAUUUUGGACAAUGGGGGCAACCCUGAUCCAGCAAUGCCGCGUGAGUGAAGAAGGCCUUCGGGUUGUAAAGCUCUUUUGUCAGGGAAGAAACGGUGAGUUCUAAUACAACUUGCUAAUGACGGUACCUGAAGAAUAAGCACCGGCUAACUACGUGCCAGCAGCCGCGGUAAUACGUAGGGUGCAAGCGUUAAUCGGAAUUACUGGGCGUAAAGCGUGCGCAGGCGGUUAUAUAAGUCAGAUGUGAAAUCCCCGGGCUCAACCUGGGAACUGCAUUUGAGACUGUAUGGCUAGAGUGUGUCAGAGGGGGGUAGAAUUCCACGUGUAGCAGUGAAAUGCGUAGAGAUGUGGAGGAAUACCGAUGGCGAAGGCAGCCCCCUGGGAUAACACUGACGCUCAUGCACGAAAGCGUGGGGAGCAAACAGGAUUAGAUACCCUGGUAGUCCACGCCCUAAACGAUGUCUACUAGUUGUCGGGACUUAAUUGUCUUGGUAACGCAGCUAACGCGUGAAGUAGACCGCCUGGGGAGUACGGUCGCAAGAUUAAAACUCAAAGGAAUUGACGGGGACCCGCACAAGCGGUGGAUGAUGUGGAUUAAUUCGAUGC